CUAGCCUUGACAUUGAUAGAAUCCGGUAGAGAUACUGGAGUGCCUUCGGGAGCUUGAAAACAGGUGCUGCACGGCUGUCGUCAGCUCGUGUCGUGAGAUGUUGGGUUAAGUCCCGCAACGAGCGCAACCCUCGUUCUUAGUUACUAACGGUUCGGCCGAGGACUCUAAGAAGACUGCCUUCGUAAGGAGGAGGAAGGUGAGGACGACGUCAAGUCAUCAUGGCCCUUACGGCUAGGGCAACACACGUGCUACAAUGGCCAGGACAAUGAGACGCAAUACCGCGAGGUGGAGCAAAUCUAUAAACCUGGUCUCAGUUCGGAUUGUAGUCUGCAACUCGACUACAUGAAGCUGGAAUCACUAGUAAUCGUAGAUCAGCUAUGCUACGGUGAAUACGUUCCC
Molecule: ribosomal RNA, 399 nt
Filed under: uncultured bacterium
Lineage: Bacteria
Description: bacterial SSU rRNA
Rfam family: Bacterial small subunit ribosomal RNA
Source: RNAcentral